GACGAACGCUGGCGGCGUGCUUAACACAUGCAAGUCGAACGGAAAGGCCCUGCUUUUGUGGGGUGCGCGAGUGGCGAACGGGUGAGUAACACGUGAGUAACCUGCCCUUGACUUUGGGAUAACUUCAGGAAACUGGGGCUAAUACCGGAUAGGAGCUCCUGCUGCAUGGUGGGGGUUGGAAAGUUUCGGCGGUUGGGGAUGGACUCGCGGCUUAUCAGCUUGUUGGUGGGGUAGUGGCUUACCAAGGCUUUGACGGGUAGCCGGCCUGAGAGGGUGACCGGACACAUUGGGAUUGAGAUACGGCCCAGACUCCUACGGGAGGCAGCAGUGGGGAAUAUUGCACAAUGGGAGGAAGCCUGAUGCAGCAACGCCGCGUGCGGGAUGACGGCCUUCGGGUUGUAAACCGCUUUCGCCUGUGACGAAGCGUGAGUGACGGUAAUGGGUAAAGAAGCACCGGCUAACUCCGUG
RNAcentral lists this ribosomal RNA (468 nucleotides) under uncultured bacterium. RNAcentral's name for it is "partial 16S ribosomal RNA". It matches the Rfam family "Bacterial small subunit ribosomal RNA", at positions 28 to 507 of the family's 1533-position model. The record is from RNAcentral.